Molecule: long non-coding RNA, 181 nt
Organism: Labrus mixtus (cuckoo wrasse)
Lineage: Eukaryota; Metazoa; Chordata; Actinopteri; Labriformes; Labridae
Exons: 3
Source: RefSeq, a predicted model, not a curated record
UGAAGAGGAGGUGAAGAGGAGGAGAGGAGGUGAGGGAGAGGAGGUGAUGAGGAGGUGAAGAGGAGGUGAAGAGGUGAAGGAGAGGAGGUGAUGAGGAGGUGGAGAGGAGGUGAAGAGGUGAAGGAGAGGAGGUGAUGAGGAGGUGAAGAGGAGGUGAAGAGUAGGUGAAGAAGAGGUGAAG